AACGAACGCUGGCGGCAUGCCUAACACAUGCAAGUCGAACGAGACCUUCGGGUCUAGUGGCGCACGGGUGCGUAACGCGUGGGAACCUGCCCUUAGGUUCGGAAUAACUCCCCGAAAGGGGUGCUAAUACCGGAUAAUGUCUUCGGACCAAAGAUUUAUCGCCUUUGGAUGGGCCCGCGUUGGAUUAGCUAGUUGGUAGGGUAAAAGCCUACCAAGGCGACGAUCCAUAGCUGGUCUGAGAGGAUGAUCAGCCACACUGGGACUGAGACACGGCCCAGACUCCUACGGGAAGCAGCAGUGGGGAAUAUUGGACAAUGGGCGGAAGGAUGAUCCAGCAAUGCCGCGUGAGUGAUGAAGGCCUUAGGGUUGUAAAGCUCUUUUACCCGGGAUGAUAAUGACAGUACCGGGAGAAUAAGCUCCGGCUAACUCCGUG
Molecule: ribosomal RNA, 433 nt
Filed under: uncultured bacterium
Lineage: Bacteria
Description: partial 16S ribosomal RNA
Rfam family: Bacterial small subunit ribosomal RNA
Source: RNAcentral